GCUGGCGGCGUGCCUAACACAUGCAAGCGAACGAGAAGCUAAUUCUGAUUCCUUCGGAUGAUGAAGUUAGCAGAAAGUGGCGAACGGGUGAGUAACGCGUGGGUAAUCUAACCCUGUAAGUCGGGGGAUAAACCCUCCGAAAGGAGGGCUAAUACCGCAUAAUAUCUUCUCCUCCCAGGAAGAGAAGAUUAAAGAUGGCCUCUAUACUAUGCUAUCACUUCAGGAUGAGCCUGCGUCCUAUUAGUUAGUUGGUGGGGUAAUGGCCUACCAAGACUACAAUGGGGUAGCCGGUCUGAGAGGAUGUACGGCCACACUGGGACUGAGAUACGGCCCAGACUCCUACGGGAGGCAGCAGUGGGGAAUAUUGCGCAAUGGGGGAAACCCUGACGCAGCGACGCCGCGUGGAUGAUGAAGGCCUUUGGGUUGUAAAAUCCUGUUCUGGGGGAAGAAACCUUAAGGGUCCAAUAAACCCUUAAGCUGACGGUACCCCAAGAGAAAGCUCCGGCUAAUUAUGUG
This 516-nucleotide ribosomal RNA is filed under the name uncultured bacterium. Its description in RNAcentral is "bacterial SSU rRNA". It matches the Rfam family "Bacterial small subunit ribosomal RNA", at positions 35 to 507 of the family's 1533-position model. The record is from RNAcentral.